UACGUAGGGGGCAAGCGUUGUCCGGAAUCAUUGGGCGUAAAGAGCGCGUAGGCGGUCCGAUAAGUCGGUUGUGAAAACUGGGGGCUCAACCCUCAGAGGCCGACCGAUACUGUCGGGCUAGAGUCCGGAAGAGGCGAGUGGAAUUCCUGGUGUAGCGGUGAGAUGCGCAGAUAUCAGGAGGAACACCAAUGGCGAAGGCAGCUCGCUGGGACGGUACUGACGCUGAGGCGCGAAAGCGUGGGGAGCAAACAGG
This 253-nucleotide ribosomal RNA is filed under the name uncultured bacterium. Its description in RNAcentral is "partial 16S ribosomal RNA". It matches the Rfam family "Bacterial small subunit ribosomal RNA", at positions 524 to 776 of the family's 1533-position model. The record is from RNAcentral.